RNAcentral lists this long non-coding RNA (1060 nucleotides) under Vulpes vulpes (red fox). Its description in RNAcentral is "lncRNA (ENSVVUG00000017677.1)". Lineage: Eukaryota; Metazoa; Chordata; Mammalia; Carnivora; Canidae. The record is from RNAcentral.
AUCGCUAAUAGUGUUUGGGAAGCAGCCAUUCUCUGAGGGUUCUGGAACACCGGGCACUGCUGACUCACUCACCAGUAGAAGGCUGGUGGUCUCCUAGCUGACCAUUGUGGGAGAGAACAGCAGGCACUGGCUACCCUGCUUCCCUACAGGAAGAGAUGUGGCCUCCGCUAUCUCCCACUGACAGAGGCCAGGCGUGGGUGGUGGUCAGACUGGCAAGUGGUGUGCUCUGUAUCCCUAAUUCACAAGCUGUCCUUGGAAAAAUAUUUUGACAUCAUUGCUGACGCUCUAAUGCAAGGCUCAUCUCAGUGUUUUGCCUUGGCAGGUGACGUUGACCCUUUUUACACAUCCCUGGAAAAUGGAAGUUAUUUGACAAGAGCAGAAAAGGAAGCAGAAUGUAAAUGCACUCAGGUCUUUCCUGCUGCAAAUCUGAACCAACAUUCCCGAGAGACACAUUUGCAGGCCUUCCUCUUCCCGAUCUCGUUUGGGUUGUGUGACAUUCGGAGGUUCUGUGGCCUUUCUGGUCUAAUCUCCCUACGGUUUAAGAUAAGGAAACCAACUUCUGCAGAGUGGCGAGGCUUCUCCAGAUGCAGGUGUAACUCGAGGACUUGCUUCCAAUUCUGGUCCCUGUGACUCCACAGCCACAUUCACAGCCACCCAGCCACAGGAGCAUAAAGCAGAAAAAUACAACAAGAUCUACUGCAGCCCAUUCUAGUGCCUGAAUCGUGUCCAGGGAUUAAGGGAUGUCACAGGGAUCUCACAACAGGGAUGGGAGUUCAGGCCUCAUGGGAAUCAGAAUCCGAACCCCAGUGUGAUAGGAAGGAACAGGUCCCCCAAAGAUAUCCAGGUCCUAAUACCCGAAAUCUGAGAAGGUUACCUUACAUGGAAAAAGCUUCUUUGUAGAUGUGCUUCAGUUAGGGAUAUUGAAAUGGGGGGAUUAUUCUGCAUUAUCCUGCUGUGCCCUAAAUAUAAUUGGAGGCAUACAUAGGGGCCAAGGGCUGGUCAUUCAAAAUGUGUUGCUUUGGCAUGUUGAUUAUUUUAAAUAAAAGUUACUUAAGAAACA